RNAcentral lists this ribosomal RNA (253 nucleotides) under uncultured bacterium. RNAcentral's name for it is "partial 16S ribosomal RNA". It matches the Rfam family "Bacterial small subunit ribosomal RNA", at positions 524 to 776 of the family's 1533-position model. The record is from RNAcentral.
AACGUAGGUUCCGAGCGUUAUCCGGAUUUACUGGGCGUAAAGCGCGUUCAGGCGGUUUGGCAAGUCGGGCAUGAAAUCUCUCGGCUCAACCGGGAGAGGUUGUCCGAUACUUCCAGACUUGAGGGCAGUAGAGGGUGGUGGAAUUCCGGGUGUAGUGGUGAAAUGCGUAGAUAUCCGGAGGAACACCAGUGGCGAAAGCGGCCACCUGGACUGCACCUGACGCUGACACGCGAAAGCUAGGGGAGCGAAUGGG